Molecule: long non-coding RNA, 1754 nt
Organism: Cheilinus undulatus (humphead wrasse)
Lineage: Eukaryota; Metazoa; Chordata; Actinopteri; Labriformes; Labridae
Exons: 5
Source: RefSeq, a predicted model, not a curated record
CACAGAUACUCUUCUGUCUUCUAAUACUUGUUUUUGCUUGUACAUUUUAAGGACCCUCAAUAAAAUGGUAGCCGACCACCCCGAGUGCUGGGACAGUUACCUGCAGGCGACCAUGUUUGGCAUCCGGACGAAAAAAUAACUCACCACAAAAUACAGUCCAUACUUUUUGAUGUUUUGGCGGGACGCACACUAUCCCUCCCAAAUACGAAAUAACAGAGGACAAGGUACAUAAUGUUAUACAAAACGAAGACAUCAUUGAAAACCUCAAACUUCAACAACUGACUUAUGAGGAUGUACAGAACAACAUAAAGAAAAGCCAGGAGAAGACCAGGAAACGGAAACUUGAAAGCAGCCACACUGACCAUUUUCAAGUCGGGGACCUCAUGCUGCGUAAAAACAUUCGCAAAAAGCAAAGUAAAGAGGGGAAACUUGCGGGACAUGCUAGUGCCAUUUAAAAUUGUCCAGCUAGAGGGGAAAAGUGUCCUUCUUGGGUGAAAGCAGCAAAAUUCUACCCAAAAUCAACAUCGACCAUUUAAUUCACCAUGUCCAGCCAGAGGAGAGGAUCCCAAGAAAGUUACAAAAACUGGAUCUCUCUGGCAUCUCCCUCUGCAUCGGCCAGUGGAGGGAGAGAACGUUCCAAGGAUGCAGAAAGUUAGCACCCAUACACAGGCACAUUUUGGUCCUGGGAAGGUGGACAUGCGCCAUUAUUGCACAUCCUAUUCAGAGGGAUGCAACAUCAUGUGGCAUCUCUGUAUGCAAGCUGGCAGAGAAAAUUCUUGGCCACUGCACAAUACAGUACGCUGUACACAAGGAGGCAGUGGCAGCAAUGCUUAUGAAGAUUGAAGUGUCUUUGCUGGAAAACACAGGCAUUUACUACUAGGUAAAAAUACAAUCCUUUCAAUGUCGUGCGUAAGGCUACAGCUAUGUUUGGUGUUUACAGAUGACCUAUCCCAGUUUUGUCGGGCCUGUGGUAGUGGAAGUUCUGAGGCUAGUAUUGAUGAUUGGAUUAAGUGGUCAGGCUGCAGGCGGUGGCACCACAGCACCUGUGUCAAUAAUCCUUCUGCAGCAGCGGACUACUUCUGUGGAGUGUGCAUUUGAACUAUAAUCAAACAAUAAUAUAGAUAUGUAAAAGAACACUUUUACACACUCCCACAGCCCCAAAGAUGCUGCAGCAACCAUUUCAAAUGUGUAUUUUGCUUUUUCUGUAAUCUCAUCCUGCCCCACCAAACACCCAACGUUAUUAAGAUGUUUUGUUUGUUUGGUUUUUUUUUUUUUUCAGGCUAAAUCUAGCUGGUCCAUCAUCACAGCCUUUGUUUAGUCAAAAGAUAGUCGUAGAGAACUGAGCUAUGCCGUGGUCCAGAUUUAACCCAAUAAUAGUCAGUCAAAAUAUGACCAUAUAAUAGAGACGUAUUUUCAACUACCUGAAGGCUUUUCACCUGUCAUUUUUCAUUUAAAUCAAGAUUAGAUGUUGUUUAAACGUCUAUAGAAAGAUUCAAAUGUGUUUUCAACUAACUUUUGCUGGGUGGAGCAUGUUAAAUUUGUUAUAUUUUUGAUGUGUAAUGUUUACCUUGUAUAUUUAGUCCCUCCAUCACAUUAAAACCAUACACACUGUGUGUGUUUUUUGAUUUUUAUCCUGGUCUUAGUCCUUCCAAAAGCAACGGUGUACACAUGUAAAUAGAAUUAUUAUGGUUCAUUAUUGCUAAUUUGGUCAUAUUGUAUUAAGGUGUUACUUGCACAUUUAUUUUCUUCCUUUG